Long non-coding RNA from Cervus elaphus (red deer), 405 nucleotides. RefSeq lists it as uncharacterized. Lineage: Eukaryota; Metazoa; Chordata; Mammalia; Artiodactyla; Cervidae. The record is from RefSeq and is a predicted model, not a curated record. The transcript is spliced from 3 exons.
UAGAUUCAAGUACAUCCAUGGCAGAACUUCCCUGGUGGUCCAGAGAUGAAGACUUCACCUUCCAAUGCAGGAGUGAUGCCACAAAAAAAGCUUGAAGUUAUGAUAUGCUGUAUCCCAGGAACAGUUUGACAGUUUCCUUACUGCUUAUAACCUGCAGUUCCCUACAGAGGCCUCCUCUCCACUGUAGUCUCUGCCAAGUGGUUGUCACAGCAUUAAUUAAACUGGAAGAAUAAAGGCAUUGCAUGUCAUUUUCUAUAUUGAAUGCCUUCAUGUUAUGGACGAAUCUCCAUGGAGAAAUCUGGUACAUAAACUGAAAACAAAUGCCUGAACAGGGAGCAUCCCUCUGGCAGGAGACACAAGAGCAGCAUCCCCUCAGUAGAUGAGCAAUCACUGCAAACCACCUUU